This 74-nucleotide transfer RNA is filed under the name Candidatus Iainarchaeum sp. RNAcentral's name for it is "tRNA-Phe". It matches the Rfam family "tRNA". From Rfam's summary of the family: Transfer RNA (tRNA) molecules are approximately 80 nucleotides in length. Lineage: Archaea; Nanobdellati; Candidatus Iainarchaeota; Candidatus Iainarchaeia; Candidatus Iainarchaeales; Candidatus Iainarchaeaceae. The record is from RNAcentral.
GGGACUGUAGCUCAGCCUGGAAGAGCAAUCGGCUGAAGACCGGUGUGUCGCCAGUUCAAAUCUGGCCAGUCCCA